UACGAAGGGUGCAAGCGUUACUCGGAAUUACUGGGCGUAAAGCGUGCGUAGGUGGUGAGUUAAGUCUGUCGUGAAAGCCCCGGGCUCAACCUGGGAAUGGCGAUGGAUACUGGCUCGCUAGAGUGCGGUAGAGGAGAGUGGAAUUCCCGGUGUAGCAGUGAAAUGCGUAGAGAUCGGGAGGAACAUCAGUUGCGAAGGCGGCUCUCUGGGCCUGACCUGACGCUGAGGAGCGAAAGCGUGGGGAGCGAACAGG
Molecule: ribosomal RNA, 253 nt
Filed under: uncultured bacterium
Lineage: Bacteria
Description: partial 16S ribosomal RNA
Rfam family: Bacterial small subunit ribosomal RNA
Source: RNAcentral